RNAcentral lists this ribosomal RNA (157 nucleotides) under uncultured Gigaspora. RNAcentral's name for it is "5.8S ribosomal RNA". It matches the Rfam family "5.8S ribosomal RNA". From Rfam's summary of the family: 5.8S ribosomal RNA (5.8S rRNA) is a component of the large subunit of the eukaryotic ribosome. It is transcribed by RNA polymerase I as part of the 45S precursor that also contains 18S and 28S rRNA. The record is from RNAcentral. Lineage: Eukaryota; Fungi; Glomeromycota; Glomeromycetes; Diversisporales; Gigasporaceae.
ACUUUCAACAAUGGGAUCUCUUGGCUCUCGCAUCGAUGAAGAACGCAGCGAAAUGCGAUAAGUAAUAUGAAUUGCAGAAUUCCGUGAAUCAUCAAAUUUUUGAACGCAAAUUGCACUUCUUGGUAUUCCGAGGAGUACACAUGCUUGAGGGUCUAGU